This 394-nucleotide small RNA is filed under the name Pongo abelii (Sumatran orangutan). RNAcentral's name for it is "retained intron". The record is from RNAcentral. Lineage: Eukaryota; Metazoa; Chordata; Mammalia; Primates; Hominidae.
UAUACCCAGUUGGAACUCCAGAAAGAGAAAGCUAUAGUGGGAAAUCUGGAGAAAAUGCUUCAAACCAAGUUUGCUGAAGCUGAAGAAAAGUAUAAGCAUACCAUACAGAUCCUGACGGAAGAGAACAUUCAUCUGAAGUGCGGCUGCUGCUGAAAAAGACAUAGCAAAAGAUAAUUUCUAAGAAUGAAGAAAUUUAUGAAGGAUGUUCUGGGAGAUUGGCCUCUAUUACUGUUUCUAAGGAUGAUUCUGACACUGUGGAAGAUGGUAGCAAGAAAGGACAAGAAUCAUAAACAAAAAGUUGCUCUGCAUUGUUGAAGAUGGUUGGCACACCAUUUCUGUAGGCCCAGGAAACUCCUGGGAGGGUUUUCUUGAGAAAAUGCAUAUAAUGAAUUUA